This 443-nucleotide ribosomal RNA is filed under the name uncultured bacterium. Its description in RNAcentral is "partial 16S ribosomal RNA". It matches the Rfam family "Bacterial small subunit ribosomal RNA", at positions 338 to 795 of the family's 1533-position model. The record is from RNAcentral.
CCUACGGGAGGCUGCAGUGGGGGAUAUUGGACAAUGGGGGGAACCCUGAUCCAGCGACGCCGCGUGAGUGAAGAAGUAUUUCGGUAUGUAAAGCUCUUUCAGCAGGGAAGAAAGAAAUGACGGUACCUGACCAAGAAGCCCCGGCUAACUACGUGCCAGCAGCCGCGGUAAUACGUAGGGGGCAAGCGUUAUCCGGAAUUACUGGGUGUAAAGGGGGCGUAGACGGUUAAGUAAGUCUGGAGUGAAAGGCCGGGGCCCAACCCCGGGACUGCUCUGGAAACUAUUGAACUUGAGUGCAGGAGAGGUAAGCGGAAUUCCUGGUGUAGCGGUGAAAUGCGUAGAUAUUAGGAGGAACACCAGUGGCGAAGGCGGCUUACUGGACUGUAACUGACGUUGAGGCUCGAAAGCGUGGGGAGCAAACAGGAUUAGAUACCCUAGUAGUC